UGUCAUCUUUACAAGAUGAGCGGCCAUUUUGUUAGCCGUGUGUAGCUGUGCAGAUUUCCUUCAUCAAAUUUCACCGAAAACAACAACUUCUGGAGGUUUUUGUUUACAUUGUGUUUUCGAUUACAUACUUGUAAGCCGGAAUAAUAAGUGUUUACUCGCUGACAUUAAACAUAGUCAUUCAUUUUCCGAGCUGCUUUGAGUUUGCUAGCUCUUUAGCUAGCUGGCUAACUUGUUUACGUGUUCCGUUGAGGGAAAACAUCGGGCUUUCAUGACCGCCAGCUUUUAAAUGUUACAACUGUCGAAUGAGCACGGUUUGUCCGCUCCUGACUUCCGUUGCCGUACACUUGUGUCUUUUAUUUAAACCGAAGAAAAUCUGAGCCACGUUUAAGACCUUCCAACUUGCGUUGCACCUCAGUAGUUAACCAGCAACUUGAGCUCCGCCAUCAGCUGACUGCUCACGGACCAGCAGCGCUCAGCCAUCCCGGAGCAACAUGUCAGAGCUGUACAUUAGGGUGGCUGAGGAUGAGAACGAGGAGCCCAUGGAGAUCCCCUCGGAGGACGAUGGGACUGUUCUACUAUCCUCGGUAUCAGCCCAGUUCCCGGGGGCUUGUGGUCUUCGGUACAGAAACCCGGAGUCCCAGUGCAUGAGGGGGGUCCGGCUGGUGGAGGGCGUCCUGCAUGCACCAGAGAGCAGCUGGGGAAACCUGGUCUAUGUCGUCAACUAUCCCAAAGAUAACAAAAGGAAGAUGGAGGAAAUCGACGCGGCGUCGGCUGUUAAAAUUAAAAGAGGUUUUCAGAAAACGUCAGACCUCAUAGUCCUCGGGUUGCCUUGGAAAACAACAGAACAAGACUUGAAGGAUUAUUUUAGCACCUUUGGGGAGGUCAUUAUGGUGCAGGUGAAGAGAGAUGCAAAAACUGGCAACUCAAAAGGUUUUGGCUUCGUCCGCUUUGCAGACUAUGAGACGCAAACUAAAGUCAUUGCUCAGAGACACAUGAUUGACGGACGAUGGUGUGACUGCAAACUUCCGAACUCAAAGGCUUCUCCCGAUGAACCGAUGCGGAGCCGCAAAAUCUUUGUUGGCCGCUGCACAGAGGACAUGACGACGGACGAUCUGAGGCAGUACUUCAUGCAGUACGGUGAAGUCACUGAUGUCUUCAUUCCCAAACCUUUCCGGGCCUUUGCAUUUGUCACGUUUGCUGAUGAUCAGGUCGCCCAGGCUCUGUGCGGAGAGGACCUGAUCAUCAAGGGCGUCAGCGUGCACAUCUCCAACGCUGAGCCCAAACACAAUAACAUUCACCAACUCUUUCACAAUUUCCCGGGAGGAGUCGCUUCAUUGGCUGCAAUGUUCGGCAGAUCUCAGUAUCCCUUCCCCUCCUCCCACGUGUAAAUGCUUUAUCAUCCGAGAACACAGCUUCACUCUGCGUAUACGGUGUUAGACGGGUCGUCGGAUUUGGAAAAAGCCAGAUUUUCUUCUGAGCAGCAGUUUGGAGUCAGCGACGCUUGAUGACGAAGCCGAAAUCGCCUUAAUUCUGGGAAGGAUCUACGUCUCCUCAUUAGCAAGAAACAUUCGACCACUCAGUUAGAGUGAUAUCAAAAUUAUAUUCACAUAUUUGUUUGCUUUGACACAUUGGGACCAAAGUCAUCCUGCUUGUUAGAAAUUUCAUUUUGUUCUCCAAAAACUGUUCAAUUCUACCUCACUAGAUCAUGUUCAUAAAUACUUCACAAGUUACUGGUAUAUGCGAGUAUAAAACCUUAUAUUUAUUGUGAUCAAAAGUUGUAUUAGCAUAGCAGGAUAUGUUGAUAGCUGUUUACCUUCAUGAAGAAGUGCAUUGGCAUUUUUAAGUAUAAAGACCUGAGUGCAAAAUCACACUUUGUGUAUUGAUACUAGUGUUGCAAUGUAAAAUAAAAAGUAGGGUUUUAUUUUUAAGUUGUAUGUGGUCUCAGUUUUGGUAAGCAUGUUAUUUUUUACUUGAGAUAGCUGACAGUUUUGCAGAGUUAUAUAUUAUUAUUUAUUCUGUGCUGUGAUUUUCAUUUAAGACCUCUGACUUAAAAAUUCUUUUUUUUUUUUUUAAGUGAAACUGGUGCAUGGAUUAAUUACAUACAAAAUUAUAUUCCAAGUGUUUGCUUUUCGUUUGUUUUGAUGAUUAAAAGCUAGAACUCAACUUCUUCAAAUAUUUGAAUUUGACCUAAGAUCAAGUUGUAACACAAUAAUUUUAAUGUAGAGAUAUUGUGUUGCACGCCAUCAAAUCUUUCAUAUUCUGACCUACUGACGCACAACAAGUCGCAAUGAAAAGGAGCCGUGUCCCCUAAGGCCUUUGGUUAAGCAGUCAUGCAAUUCUACAAAGUGUUUACUUUUUCUCAAUUGCUUUGGUUCAUUUCUCUGCUUGGAUUCUGUUUUAUUUUGAUCACUAAUUCAACUUGCACAACAUUUAGUCACCAUAUGUCUCAUUAUUUUCCAGCAAAUUGUUAUUGCUUUCAGACAUGAAUCAGUUGCUUCCAUAAAAUUCUCUGAAUUUCUAUAACGUCAUUUGCUUAUGUCAGUCCAAAUGAACUAUACUUAUGAAUCCUGGAUACUUAUUCCCUAUAAAUCAUUUCAUUGCCGGAAUCGUUACAUACCAAACUGUUCAGCUAGUUUUCAAAAUCUGUCAAAAUUAUGUUUUAUUAUUUCUUUAAAAAGUUUGCCAAGUUGAGCAAUUUCUCUCAGUGAACCUCAACUUUGAUUAAUAUUGUUUACAGUUGUGUAAAGCUUUUCUCUGUUGUAAAUACGUUUGUACUUGGCUUAUGCAUAAUGCUGUGGAAAAAACAACUGCAUAGAGCAUAAUGCAGCAAAAAUGUGACGCAUUUGUAUGCAGGUCAAGGUUGUGUUAACCAACAAGGAAUUGUACUUUGGUUUUCAAGCACUCACAGCUUACAAAGUAUAAACUUUAGAGGAAAUAAAGAUAACUGAGCAAUAUGUA
Molecule: RNA transcript, 2958 nt
Organism: Xiphophorus couchianus (Monterrey platyfish)
Lineage: Eukaryota; Metazoa; Chordata; Actinopteri; Cyprinodontiformes; Poeciliidae
Gene: tardbpa
Gene name: TAR DNA binding protein a
Exons: 7
Source: RefSeq, a predicted model, not a curated record